This 592-nucleotide ribosomal RNA is filed under the name Rhodotorula mucilaginosa. RNAcentral's name for it is "partial large subunit ribosomal RNA". It matches the Rfam family "Eukaryotic large subunit ribosomal RNA", at positions 38 to 541 of the family's 3401-position model. Lineage: Eukaryota; Fungi; Basidiomycota; Microbotryomycetes; Sporidiobolales; Sporidiobolaceae. The record is from RNAcentral.
GCAUAUCAAUAAGCGGAGGAAAAGAAACUAACAAGGAUUCCCCUAGUAGCGGCGAGCGAAGCGGGAAGAGCUCAAAUUUAUAAUCUGGCACCUUCGGUGUCCGAGUUGUAAUCUCUAGAAAUGUUUUCCGCGUUGGACCGCACACAAGUCUGUUGGAAUACAGCGGCAUAGUGGUGAGACCCCCGUAUAUGGUGCGGACGCCCAGCGCUUUGUGAUACAUUUUCGAAGAGUCGAGUUGUUUGGGAAUGCAGCUCAAAUUGGGUGGUAAAUUCCAUCUAAAGCUAAAUAUUGGCGAGAGACCGAUAGCGAACAAGUACCGUGAGGGAAAGAUGAAAAGCACUUUGGAAAGAGAGUUAACAGUACGUGAAAUUGUUGGAAGGGAAACGCUUGAAGUCAGACUUGCUUGCCGAGCAAUCGGUUUGCAGGCCAGCAUCAGUUUUCCGGGAUGGAUAAUGGUAGAGAGAAGGUAGCAGUUUCGGCUGUGUUAUAGCUCUCUGCUGGAUACAUCUUGGGGGACUGAGGAACGCAGUGUGCCUUUGGCGGGGGUUUCGACCUCUCACACUAGGAUGCUGUAAAAAACAAAAAACCCCCA